GACGAACGCUGGCGGCAUGCCUAACACAUGCAAGCCGAGCGAGCGGAUCCCUUCGGGGUGAAGCUAGCGGCGGACGGGUGAGUAACACGUGGGCAACCUGCCUCAUAGAGGGGAAUAGCCUUCCGAAAGGAAGAUUAACACCGCAUAAGAUUGUAGCUUCGCAUGAAGCAGCAAUUAAAGGAGCAAUCCGCUAUGAGAUGGGCCCGCGGCGCAUUAGAUGGUUGGUGAGGGAACGGCUCACCAAGGCGACGAUGCGUAGCCGACCAGGGGAGGUGAUCGGCCACAUUGGGACAGAGACACGGCCCAGACUCCUACGGGAGGCAGCAGUGGAGAAUAUUGAACAAUGGGGGAAACCCUGAUGCAGCAAUGCCGCGGGAGUGAUGACGGCCUUCGGGUUGUAAAGCUCUGUCUUCGGGGACGAUAAUGACGGUACCCGAGGAGGAAGCCACGGCUAACUACGUGCCAGCCGCCGCGGUAA
RNAcentral lists this ribosomal RNA (478 nucleotides) under uncultured bacterium. Its description in RNAcentral is "partial 16S ribosomal RNA". It matches the Rfam family "Bacterial small subunit ribosomal RNA", at positions 28 to 523 of the family's 1533-position model. The record is from RNAcentral.